GAUUGGCAUGGUGAAAAAGUUGAAAAAUAAAAGGGACCAAUCGAUUGAUGUUAGAGAUACAAUCGAUUGUUUGGUAAAAAAUUUAUAAAAAUUAAAAAAAAUAAGAAACCAAUCGAUUGAUAUAAAGAUGUAAUCGAUUGAAUAAACUUACUUUAAAACAAAAUUUGAGAAAUUAAGAGGGACCAAUCGAUUGACACCUUACCAUCAAUCGAUUUGACACCAAACAAAUUUUGAAAAAUACUUAAAAAU
Molecule: long non-coding RNA, 249 nt
Filed under: Lathyrus oleraceus (garden pea)
Lineage: Eukaryota; Viridiplantae; Streptophyta; Magnoliopsida; Fabales; Fabaceae
Description: Pisum sativum (pea) long non-coding RNA (PSAT_LNC035374)
Source: RNAcentral